AGAGUUUGAUCAUGGCUCAGGACGAACGCUGGCGGCGUGCCUAAUGCAUGCAAGUCGCACGCACGCCUCUUCGGAGGCGUGAGUGGCGCACGGCUGAGGAACACGUGGGCACCUGCCCUCCCGUGGGGGAUAACGCGGCGAAAACCACGCUAAACCCGCAUACGCUCGACGCUUCGGUGUCGAGGAAACCGUGAAAACGGGCGGGAGGAGGGGCCUGCGGCCCAUCAGGUCGUAGGUGGGGUAACGGCCUACCUAGCCGAUGACGGGUAGCUGGUCUGUGAGGACAACCAGCCAGACUGGGACUGAGACACGGCCCAGACUCCUACGGGAGGCAGCAGCAAGGAAUUUUCCCCAAUGGGCGCAAGCCUGAGGGAGCAACGCCGCGUGGAGGACGACGGCCUUCGGGUUGUAAACUCCUUUUGGGGGGGACGAUGAUGACGGUACCCCCCGAAUCAGCCCCGGCUAACUCUGUGCCAGCAGCCGCGGUAAGACAGAGGGGGCAAGCGUUGUCCGGACUGACUGGGCGUAAAGCGCGCGCAGGCGGUCGGAGGCGUCGGUGCUGAAAGCGCGCCGCUUAACGGCGCGAUGCGUGCCGAUACGCUCCGACUGGAGGGUGGGCGAGGGUGGUAGAAUUGCCGGUGUAGUGGUGAAAUGCGUAGAGAUCGGCAGGAAUACCAGUGGCGAAGGCGGCCACCUAGCCCGCACCUGACGCUGAUGUGCGACAGCGUGGGGAGUGAACUGGAUUAGAUACCCAGGUAAUCCACGCCGUAAACGAUGCCGACUCGGUCUCCGUGGGGCAACCGCCCUGGGGGGGCCCGAGCUCACGCGCUAAGUCGGCCGCCUGGGGACUACGAGCGCAAGCUUAAACUCAAAGGAAUUGACGG
RNAcentral lists this ribosomal RNA (884 nucleotides) under uncultured bacterium. RNAcentral's name for it is "bacterial SSU rRNA". It matches the Rfam family "Bacterial small subunit ribosomal RNA", at positions 8 to 916 of the family's 1533-position model. The record is from RNAcentral.